ACGUCACUUCCCCCUUUCUUAUCAGGAAAAUUAAGAAGAAAAACGUCACUUCCGUCUCUUCUGGUGCCAAUCUAAUUAAUUGUUAUCUCUAUCAUCGUCUUAUCCGCCGACAUCUCGAUCCAAGAGAAUUCCGCUCAUCACAAUCUUGUUAAUUGUUAUCUCCGUCAUCAUCUAAUACGCCGACAUCUCGAUCCAAGAGAAUUCCGUUCAUCACAAUAUUUUGAUGUGAUUUCUGCCUGCGGACAGAUGGAAAAUCAACGUAAUCCUAACUGCGACAGAUCGACACAGCUAACGGUGUCGGAAGAAGGAGAGUUCGUCGGCAAUUCGUCACCUUGUCAAGUGUCUUAUUCCCCAUUUUCUUGGCUGCUGGAGGUGCUUGAUUGAAACACGCACUUCCUGUUGCAGAUCGAGCAGGUGCAUUUUGCUUCUUGCUCUUCCAAGACACCAAGUUACCUCCUACUAAAAGACAAUAUCCCAAAGUAGAACGUCUAUCAGAAGGUGAUUCUGCCUAAUUAGCGUCUAUGUAUCCAACGAUCUGCUCAUGGCCUCAAUCCUCGAACAACAGUUAUUUGCCUAGGGCUGAUUUUAUAUACUGAAGAAUUCAGCACACUCACAAAGAAGGAAAUAUAAGGUCUAAUCAUUGUGAGGUAAUUCAACUUACCAACCAGCUGCCUAGAUGUUGCAGGAUCACUAAGAGGCUCCCCUUGUCCUGGCAGAAGUUUGGUAUUUGGAUCUAUAGGAGGGUCAAUGGGUCUACAACACGUCAUUCAUGUCUCUCAAGAAUAUAUAAGGCAUACUUUCGUGCUCAGAGUUGGUUGAAUUUAAAGUAAUGGUGAGCUAUCAUAGGGCUAAGUUGGUAGAACUUUGGCUACUCUAUCGAAAGAUCAGAGUGUAUUGUGGUCGUGUAGUCUACUAAAAAGACGAAAAAUGAAGGUAUGUUUGUGUCCCAUUUUAACUUAUCAAGGAAGGUCUGUUUGCAUUUCAUUAUAACUUGAAAAUGAAGGUAUGUUGCCGGAAGGAAAAUUGAUGCACGGGAACUUCUGGCUGUAUUCUGGUUCCUGAAUGUGUUUGACCACCACUGCUCUUCACGGAAAAAUAAUAUUAUUGAUGUUAUUUCACAAUAUAAUACAAGAAGUCCUAUUUAUAGAUAUACUCUAUGUAGCAUAUAUUAAUUCGUAUUUCAGUGUGGGACUAGACACACUUAUAUACACAAGGAUGAUGCUUGUAAGCUCUAAUUUAAAAACAUACAAGAGCUAAUAAAGGUAAUAUUUUGUCUUGUUUAGAAGUGUACAAGAGCUAAUAAAGGUAAUAUUCUAUCUGAUUUAAAAACAUUCAAGAGCUAAUAAAAUUAAGAUUUAGAAACAUACAAGAACAACUGAGUUAAAAUUUUAGAAACAUCAUCCAUAUCAAACCAAAAGACGGAAGAGAUAAUAUCAUAUUGGAUCAAUCAUAUACAUAUAGAAACUUUUGUAAUAACAUAUAUGUAGAAACUUAUUUAACCAUAAUAGCAUGAAAUAUUUCUUUUGCUAGUCACUCACAUUUUUGUUUGCAGCUUCGGACAUCCUUGGUACCUAAUCUUUAAUGUUCAUGUUGCCUGGUUCGACAAGUAUCAAGGUCAUACAAUUCCAGACACGAGUUCUAAGCAUCGUGCUCAGAGUUGGUUGAAUUUAAAGUAAUGGUGAGCUAUCAUAGGGCUAAGUUGGUAGAACUUUGGCUACUCUAUCGAAAGAUCAGAGUGUAUUGUGGUCGUGUAGUCUACUAAAAAGACGAAAAAUGAA
Non-coding RNA from Nicotiana tabacum (common tobacco), 1778 nucleotides. The record is from RefSeq and is a predicted model, not a curated record. NCBI's taxonomy places the organism in Eukaryota, Viridiplantae, Streptophyta, Magnoliopsida, Solanales, Solanaceae.